This is a long non-coding RNA of Cydia splendana, 815 nucleotides long. RefSeq lists it as uncharacterized. NCBI's taxonomy places the organism in Eukaryota, Metazoa, Arthropoda, Insecta, Lepidoptera, Tortricidae. The record is from RefSeq and is a predicted model, not a curated record. The transcript has 4 exons.
UGUUGUUUGGAUAUUGAGAAAACUUGUCAAUCUUGCUUGACAUUGUGUUGUCUAUCGUUCCACGAUUCCGUAUGAGUUAGCGUGUAUUCCUUAUUGUUUUAUUCCUGUUACUUGUUGUUAUUUGUUAUUGAACUUAGUGUUUUGUGUGAUGCAAGUCGUUUCGUACUAACGUACGUGUGCGUACGUACUUUAUGUUUGAAAAUCCCUUAGAAUGGGGAACAAGAAGGGACGAAAAUCUAGUGCAUCAGUGAGAUUGAAGCGAAAACGAAAGCAAACAUGCUCCGGAAUGUCGUUACAAAGCUGCUGCACAGCCACCUGAUGCACAUGACCAAAUUGACAGUGAAGUGUGUCAAUCUGCUAAAGAAACCACAAAUCAACCUGAACCAUCUUUUUCUGCUUAUGUAGACUAUUUGAGUGAAGACACUGAAGGAAAUGAUUUUAAUAUAACACAUGAAAAUAUACCUACUGGCCCUGAACAUGGCCAUGAAACAAAAUAUGGCAGGAGGAUUGUAAAUGUGGACCAGUUCUUUGACAAGUUGCAAGAAAUAUCAUCUCAUGGCCCUCUCAAUUGCGGAUUAAAAUCAGUUCAGAUCAUAUCAUAUUAGAGACCCAGCCUACAUAAAAGAAGCCAUUCAUGAGAAAGAGAGGAAGAAAACAUCUGCGCCACCAAGAAAAAGAAAACUAGCCGCUGAAAACAGUGAAAACAUACGCCCCCCCCGCCGUCGUCGUAGAAAUAAAUAAACGAUGAAAACUGGUUUAUUUGUAUUAUUCCAAAUAUAACAUAAUAGUGUUCAAAAUUACACAAAGAAAACCGA